GAUGAACGCUAGCUACAGGCUUAACACAUGCAAGUCGAGGGGCAGCAUGAACUUAGCUUGCUAAGUUUGAUGGCGACCGGCGCACGGGUGAGUAACACGUAUCCAACCUGCCGAUGACUCGGGGAUAGCCUUUCGAAAGAAAGAUUAAUACCCGAUGGCAUAGUUCUUCCGCAUGGUAGGACUAUUAAAGAAUUUCGGUCAUCGAUGGGGAUGCGUUCCAUUAGCUUGUUGGCGGGGUAACGGCCCACCAAGGCAUCGAUGGAUAGGGGUUCUGAGAGGAAGGUCCCCCACAUUGGGACUGAGACACGGCCCAA
RNAcentral lists this ribosomal RNA (314 nucleotides) under uncultured bacterium. Its description in RNAcentral is "bacterial SSU rRNA". It matches the Rfam family "Bacterial small subunit ribosomal RNA", at positions 28 to 334 of the family's 1533-position model. The record is from RNAcentral.